CUCCUGUUUUAUUCAGAAGUGCUUUUAUUUAAACACAAAGAGGAUUUUCGUGGACACCGGGUAAGGUGGAGCAACAGUGGGAGUCCAGCCUGAAGGGAGCGGGAAGCGGGACCAUCUAUCAGAGCGUGAGGACUUGAGCCUCUGCACUUUAGAUGUCGAAAUGCAUCGUGAUUCCUGUCCGUUGGACUGUAAGGUUUAUGUAGGUAAUCUUGGAAACAAUGGCAACAAGACUGAAUUAGAACGGGCUUUUGGCCACUAUGGACCACUCCGAAGUGUGUGGGUUGCUAGAAACCCUCCCGGCUUUGCUUUUGUUGAAUUUGAAGAUCCUCGAGACGCAGCUGAUGCUGUCCGAGAGCUGGAUGGAAGGACACUGUGUGGCUGCCGGGUGAGAGUGGAACUGUCCAACGGUGAAAAAAGAAGUAGAAAUCGUGGCCCACCUCCCUCUUGGGGUCGUCACCCCCGAGAUGAUUAUCGUAGGAGGAGUCCUCCACCUCGGCAGAUCUCCAAGGAGGAGAAGCUUCUCUCGCAGCCGGAGCAGGUCCCUUUCCAGAGACAGGAGAAGAGAGAGAUCACUGUCUAAGGAGAGAAAUCACAAGCCCUCCCGAUCCUUGUCUAGGCCUCGAAGCCGAUCUAGGUCAAAUGAAAGGAAAUAGAAGACCAGUUUGCAAGAAAAGUGGUGUACAGGAGACAACUUCAUUUGACAGGAGGAUGUACAGAAAUUUCAAGUUUUAUUUGAGACUUCCUAAACUUGGUGCAUUUUUAAGAUGUUUUAGUUGUUCAAAUUUGUUUGUCUCUUGGAACAGUGACACAAAAAGUAUAAUUCUCUAUGGUUUUGAAAUGGAUCAUACGAGGCAUGUAAUACCAAGAAUUGUUACUUUACAAUGUUCCCUUAAGCAAAAUUGAAUUUGCUUUGAAUUUUAGUUUUUCAUAGACUGAUAAUAAACCUCUAAAUCCUGCCCACCUAAAGUGUGAUUUAUUUUUUUUAUACAUAGAAACAAAACUGGCAAAUUGAAUGAAAAUUUACUUUUUCCCCCGUG
This is an RNA transcript of Nycticebus coucang (slow loris), 1037 nucleotides long. It is a transcript of the gene named serine/arginine-rich splicing factor 3-like, with no coding region annotated. The record is from RefSeq and is a predicted model, not a curated record. The transcript has a single exon. NCBI's taxonomy places the organism in Eukaryota, Metazoa, Chordata, Mammalia, Primates, Lorisidae.